AUACGGAGGAUCCGAGCGUUAUCCGGAUUUAUUGGGUUUAAAGGGUGCGCAGGCGGGAGAUUAAGUCGGCGGUGAAAUUUUGCAGCUCAACUGUAAAAGUGCCUUCGAAACUGGUUUCCUUGAGUGUGGAUGAAGUAGGCGGAAUUUGUGGUGUAGCGGUGAAAUGCAUAGAUAUCACGAGGAACUCCGAUUGCGCAGGCAGCUUACUAAGCCAUAACUGACGCUCAGUCACGAAGGCGUGGGGAUCAAACAGGAUUAGAUACCCUGGUAGUCCACGCAGUAAACGAUGAUUACUAGCUGUUUGCGAUACAAUGUAAGCGGCUGAGCGAAAGCGUUAAGUAUCCACCUGGGGAGUACGUUCGCAAGAAUGAAACUCAAAGGAAUUGACGGGG
This 392-nucleotide ribosomal RNA is filed under the name uncultured bacterium. RNAcentral describes it as "partial 16S ribosomal RNA". It matches the Rfam family "Bacterial small subunit ribosomal RNA", at positions 523 to 918 of the family's 1533-position model. The record is from RNAcentral.